Molecule: ribosomal RNA, 492 nt
Filed under: uncultured bacterium
Lineage: Bacteria
Description: partial 16S ribosomal RNA
Rfam family: Bacterial small subunit ribosomal RNA
Source: RNAcentral
AGUGAACGCUGGCGGUAGGCCUAACACAUGCAAGUCGAACGGCAGCACAGUAAGAGCUUGCUCUUACGGGUGGCGAGUGGCGGACGGGUGAGGAAUAUAUCGGAAUCUACUUUUUCGUGGGGGAUCACGUAGGGAAACUUACGCUAAUACCGCAUACGACCUACGGGUGAAAGCAGGGGAUCUUCGGACCUUGCGCGAUUGAAUGAGCCGAUGUCGGAUUAGCUAGUUGGCGGGGUAAAGGCCCACCAAGGCGACGAUCCGUAGCUGGUCUGAGAGGAGGAUGAGGGACACUGGAACUGAGACGCGGUCCAGACUCCUACAGGAGGCAGCAGUGGGGAAUAUUGGACAAUGGGCGCAAGCCUGAUCCAGGCAUGCCGCGUGGAUGAAGAAGGCCUUCGGGUUGUAAAGCCCUUUUGUUGGGAAAGAAAGGCAGCAGGUUAAUACCCCGCUGUUCUGACGGUACCCGAAGAAUAAGCACCGGCUAACUUCGUG